Long non-coding RNA from Ictalurus punctatus (channel catfish), 7766 nucleotides. The record is from Ensembl. NCBI's taxonomy places the organism in Eukaryota, Metazoa, Chordata, Actinopteri, Siluriformes, Ictaluridae.
GUAAGUGUGACGCAAAAUGAUGUGUCUGUUCAUAUGAAGUUAAAUGCCUUAGUUAAGGGUUGAGCCUGCAACCGAUGACUGAUUACUGAUUUCUUGCUAUCAGAGGAUAGGAAACAGAAUCAUUAUCCAUCCUGUGCGGUGGAGCUAUGAAUACUUGAGUCGUCAAUACAUGCGCUGUAGUCAGUGCAUUUGCAUAUGACGUGUAAUUAUGCAGUUAUAGCAGUCUAAUACAGCCGGGAUGUGCAGACAGUAUGUUUCACACAGACUCCUUAUACGAUUGCUUUUUUUAAAAUAGAUAAAUAAUAAUAAUAAUAAUAAUAAUAAUAAUAAUAAUAAUAAUAAUAAUAAUGAUAAUAAUAAUAAUACAUUUCUAGCAGUUACUUCAAUGAAUCUUGCGUAGGCUAUAUAGGCCUCAUAUAUAGAGUAUAACUCAUAUGGUGUUACGUGAUCAUGCAAAAUGAUGCAAAUUGUUACUAAACGCGUGUUGUUCUUUUGUUCGGCCGUCUUUGUUAGUACACGUAUUUGUGCAUGUAGUGCAUGGGUUUGAAUAGUGUAACUCUAAUGAAUUUUUAUAAUAGAUGUUGGCGAAUCCGAGACUUUAUGAAAUCGCAUUUCUAAUGCAUAGAAUAUAAAGCAAAACAAAGAAGAAGAAGAAAAAAAGAGCAUUCUGAACCUACCGCUCGCCUAACAUGCUGCUGUUUUAAACAAAAAGGGAAAUGAAGAAAACAACACAGCCACAGCCACUGUGAAUGCAAAAGAGAUGCAAAUAUACCUUUUACAUAUGCAUCAAUAUUUAAAAUAACACACAUGUUGGAAGCGUCUGCAGCGAUGAACCGAGCGGUGUCUCAGUGCGCGCGGGCGCCAGUCUUCGCUCCUUCAGCGCGCGCUCCGGAUCCUCACCAUGCAGAUGCUCGCCAUAUUCAAAACAAUAAACAAACACACAUACAUACACACACACACGCACACACCAAAAAACACACACAAUACGCGCCUAUUCUCUUCAAAUGGAAAACGAGCCUCUUCGGAUCCGACGAGGGUAAAAUUUACUCCGAGCGCUGAUAGAAAGGCGACGUAAGGGGAUUUGCAUAUUUGAUGCGCUAAUUUCCUUGAUGUAUUUAAAUAUGGCUGCGCGUAGCAGAGCGGCUUGUCUACGUCACUGGACGUGACCUCGUUGUUAAAUCUAAACGCGAAUCCGCUUGCAAUCAUGGAGAAUUAGAAAGAGGGACAGAAUUACGCGUUGUAACGUCAUUACUAAUUUUCUAAUACAAAAAUAGCUUAUUUAAAAAAAAAAUUAAAUAAAAAACAGUUGAACUUGAACUUGACAUUCAAUACGCUUGCGUAUGUGAUGAGAAAAAAUACAGGUAACAUAAUAAUAAUAAUAAUAAUAAUAAUAAUAAUAAUAAUAAUAAUAAUGUGGGAUGGUCUAAUAAUAGGCUUAUUAAAAGGUUAUGCAUUACACAGUCCGCACUUUUAUUGAAGGAAUGUUCACUUAUUAGUGCCAAGGCCUCUCGCGUGCUUUCUUUUUUAAUGAAUAAAUGAAUGAACAUAGUAUGUGCUUGGUGUCUUAUGACUAAACUUAGACUUCUUGCUCUUUUUUUUUUUUUUUUUUAAAGCGAUGCUUUCUCUUGACAGUAUGUGUUUUUUUUCUCCCUGCUCUAAUAAUGUCCUCGCUGUGUAUAAAGACGGCGAGCGCGUUCCGUCAGUCCGCUCGUGUGGGGCAGAAAAAAAAAGCUCGAGGCAAAUUCAUUAGCGCAGUCAGUGCGUAACCUGCUCUGGGAAACUGGGGGGCUACAGUCCACGCCAAUAAGGGGAACAAUGGCUCCUCAGUUCAAAUCCAACAAAAGACCUGGCCAACUUGUUUGAAUUUCCGAGCACGUCCUUUCUUUCUAUCACAGAGAAGGAGAGGUGCCCCCCUCUUCUGCUGACCCCCUCCCAACACCCCCCAUCUACCCCCACCCUAACACUAAAAAAAAUAAAAUAUAUAUUUUUUAAAUCAUUCCAUGCCAACCCUUCUCCGCUCAACACUGCACUUUUUCCCAUUUGGUGCCGUAGACAAAUAGGUUAUGGGAAACUUCUCGACCCCUCCUCUCUGACCCCCCCCCCCCCCCGUACACCCCCCCAUCUCGCGCUGUCUCUCAGUCUCUCACACACUCUCGCGCUGUCUCUAGCGCGCGUGGACUUACCGGAGCAGGGAAGCACGCGUAAUGAGCUAAGUGUUAGCGGCAAUUUUGAACCACACGCGCACAGGAUGGACUCGUUAGUGAGACGGCGUUUUGCGCACCGGCAACGGAUACUGAAUGUUUGGAAAGACGCUUGGACAGAAAAUAACAGCUCUGAGUCUUCCCCUUUAAUGCCUGAUGAGGUUGGAGAAUACAUGGCAAGGGAUCUGAGACCGUUCCUCCAUACAGACUCUCUCCAGAUUCUCCUUCACAUUUUGAGUGGACUGGUGGAGUCUCCUCUUCAGUUCACCACACAGGUUUUCUGUGGGUUUCAAGUGAGAGGACUGGGAUGACCAUGGCAGGACCUUGAGUUUGUGGUCAGUAAACCAUUAUUGUGUUGAUUUUGAUGUAUGUUUUGGAUCAUUGUCCUGCUGGAAGAUCAACCCACGGCCCAUUUUAAGAUUUCUGGCAGAGUCAUUCUAGUUUUCAUUUAAUAUCUGUUGAUAUUGGUAGAGUCCAUGAUGCUAUGUAUCCUAACAAAUUGUCCAGGUCCUCUGGCAGAAAAACAGCCCCAAAACAUUGAAGAGCCAAUGCCAUAUUUAACAGUGGCCAUGAGGUACUUUUCCAUAUGGCUACCUCUCAGUGUGUGCCAAAACCACCUCUAGGGUUUAUUGCCAAAAAGCUCUAUUUUGGUUUCAUCUGACCACAGAACCUGAUCCCAUUUGAAGAUGCAUUAGAGUCUGGCAAACUGAAGACCCUUGAGUUGUUUUUGGAUGAGAGUAGAGGCUUUUUCCUUUAAACCUUUCCAAACAACUUGUGGUGAUGUAGGUGACUUCAGAUUGUAGUUUUGGAGACUUUCUGACCCCAACACACAACUAACUCCUGCAAUUCUCCAGCUGUGAUCCUUGGAGAUUUUUUGGCCACUCGAACCAUCCUCUUCACAGAGCGUUAAGACAAUACAGACACAUAUCCAGUUCCAGGUUCAUUCAUAACAUUUCCAGUUGACUGGAACUUCUUAAUUAUUGCCCUGAUGGUGCAAAUGGGCAUUUUCAAUGCUUGUGCUAUUUUCUUAUGGCCACUUCCCAUUUUGUGAAGCUCAACAACCUUUCGCUGCACAUCACAGAUAUGUUCCUUGGUCUUACCCAUUGUUAUGAAUGACUAAGGAACCUUGGCCUAUGUGUUACCUCAUAUUUAUAACCCUGUGAAACAGGAAGUCAUAGUUGAACAAUUUCCUGUUUCUAAUCACCCAGGUAUGAAAGAAAAUAUAAAAUAUCAAUGGGAAUAUACUUCAAAUAUAUUUUUCUCAUAUGAAUUCAUGGGGUGCCAAUAAUUGUUGCACACCUAUAUUUAAUAAAGAUUUUUUUUUUUUUGGAUAAACCUGUGUUUUGUGUUGCAAUUGUUUGAUAUCCAUGAGAGCAGAGUAUUUUUUGUUAAUUUCUAAACAAAAGAUGAAAAGGUUCAACAAUUAAGACAAUUUUUCACAGCCUUCUUUGCUCAUAUUUACCAAGGGUGCCAAAUUUAGUGGUGGGCACUGCAUAUAGGCAUGAAAGAUAAUGGCCUUUCAGGUGUCUUUCCUUGAACAUAAUGUCCUUAUAUAUAUAUAUAUAUAUAUAUAUAUAUAUAUAUAUAUAUAUAUAUAUAUACAUAUACAUAUAUAUAUAUAUAUAUAUAUAUAUAUAUAUAUAUAUAUACACACACACAAACACACAUACAUAUUAUCAAAUAUAGUAAUUAUAGCCGAUGGUCUCAUACAUUAAUACAUUUUUAUUAUUAGUCUAUAGCAGCUCAAUAUAGGUAGAGACUGAAGACAGAUUGACUGGGUGAUUGUUUAUAGCUGUAAGUGGAGGAUUUAAAUGAGCAGAAUUCUGCCAGGAGCUGUGCGUAGUUCCGCCCCUUUAUGCGCUGGUCCUUGUCACAUGUACCUUGCUUUUCACGUUGGUUGGUGUCGCUCUGGCAACCGGAGGUGAGCUCAAAGGGUGCAUGCGAAAGAGUGUGAGUGUGUGCGUAUGCCUGUACAUGUGUAUGCAUUUGCAUACGUAUCUGAGGCAUUUGCUGUAAAUGAGCAUGUGCAAAAUUAAAGCUGUAGGUAUAUUGUGCAUAUGCAUAUAACAAGACCUUUCAACUCCCUGCUACUCCAUUUCCCUGAGGUCAAAUCUCUAUUCAUUACACUUUAAUGCUCCAAAUAUGAUGUGCUGCCCUGUCACAUCCCAGCAUGUUGCGAAAUUAGUCUCAUCCAAAUGUAUAUGGGUUUCUGAGAUUCUAUAUAGGAGCUGAAAACAGAGAUUUUAGUCCUAUAUUCAUUUUUAUUGUAUAAAGAACAAGCAGUAAUAACAUCCAUGUCUUGGCAGUGCAGCCCAGUUGUGCAAUAACCUAAUCUGCUUCCUCAGAUAUCUGGUAGCUGAGCUUUUGUCAGCGUUCUUUUUAGUGUUCGUAUUAAUUACAUUCCUUGGAAGUACCACGGAAAUGAUCUAAAAAAAAAAAAAAUAAGAGAGAGAGAGAGAGAUAAAGGCAACUCUUUGGUAAGAGGUUUAACUCAGCUAACUACAGCACUGAGCAGGUGAGUAAAGCUUGUAAAAGCCCCGAUGAAUGAUUUAGCUCAUUUUAAGUGCUACACUGUACCGUUCUAAAGAUCCGUUAUGCCUUACACUAACCAAGCUGCCCUGAGCUAAUUAUUAAUAUAUUUUUUUCUGCUGUAUAAUCAUAAACAAUUCAGAAUUCCUCUGUAAUACAAAAAACCCGACUCAGUACAGGAGCAAGGCUGCGUGCAUCUAUUAGUGAUGGUUUUAUAGUGUUCAACUGGAACUGACUGUCUGCGUGUCCUUUUGAAUUCUGCAAUGCUCUGCUGAAUUUAGAUUAUGCAAAUGGCCCUCGUGCUAUAAACAAAUUCUUAUAAUUGCACUGAAAAACACCUCGAUCCUGUCAGAUGCCAAAGCCUAAAUAAUACAUUUCACGCUGGUGAAUUAUUCACUUAUAUUAAUUACAAAUAACCGCCAGGACAACAUACUAUAGAGUUGUUCUUAGAAGAUAAUAUAAUCUAGUUCUUUGUUAAAAAAAAAAAAAUACAAGGAGUUCAAAUGAUUAAAAAUGAUUUUUCUUAUAAAUGGGGAAGAAUUUGUUAGAAAUGUCCUCUAGUAGAAAGUAAAUUAUGUGGGUGACACAAAUACUAUUUCACAGUUCCCAGAAGCCCUAAUUAUCUGGGAUAAAUUUAGAUACGACAGAAUUAACAAGAGAAGAUCUUUAAACCCUGGGACUGCCAUCAAAUGUGCGAUAAAUUGGCUUUAUGCUGUUUGUAAGUGGUCGCUGUUGUUUCUAAAUGUCCGCGCCCUCCAAUUAAAUAAUUGAAAUGCCGCACCUGUCACAGGCGCUGGCUACGUCAUGUGGUGAACCGCGCUUACAUUAGAAUCUCGACUUUAUGCAAAUUUGAUGAGCACCACCUCAUGCAUAUAUGCGCUGGUCCCUGGAGCUGCCUGCCUUAAUAUCCUUAUUAGAAGGAGGGGGGAUUAAAAAUUGAUGGCAGAGGUUGGGUAGGCAGAUCACACCCUUCGAUCUGCCCACAAAGUAGUAGUGCAGGGUCUGAAGCUGCUUCCGUGCAACAGUGCUUCCUUCUUUCAAGGUGCCACCAUCUUAAAGGGCUUAGCAGUGACGAGCACGCGGAAGAGGGUAGGGACCUAAAAUGUCCGCUGGCACAGGGCUCGCGCAUCCUCCUCGCUAACGUGCUCACAUCAAUUACGAAAUUAUCCAGUAUCACUGAAGCCAUGCAUGCUGAGCGACUCAUUUACAUGCAUCGACUCACCCUCCCCCGUUACUAUCAGUUUUAUAUGCGAAUGGCUCAUGGCAAGCAGCGGCACGUCUUAUCCAUGCACAACACGCGCCCUUUGCACAAAUGCAGGGUGGAACCCAGUGCAUGUUAUCACAGACUGUAUUCAUCUAGAGCACCUCAUGAUCGCCUGAAAUUCCAAAUGAAUAUAUAUUUGCUACGUGGCCUGUGGCGAAAACCUUGGUAAACCAAUAUACUGAUAUUUAAAUCCGCACACCCUCUAAUCUAACUUUGGAUAAAAAUGAAGGGAUGCCAAUAUCUCGGAUAGAUGCCAAUUGCUGUCAGAUAACGCUCAGCUCAUUUUAACACUGAUUGGACGAGGCUGAAAUUGUCUUAACGGUCUAGGUUUCUCAGCCACAUUUGAGUCAUAGUGUCAUCGCAGUUCUUCCUCACCAAAUUUCUGCUCGCUGUUCUGGCAGGCCAAAUUCACUCCAGUGUCUUAAUUAUUUCAAAGGUGGCUGCUUAAAACAGGGCAGCGCCGCAGCGCCAUUUGCAUUUCGCUUUCAUCUCUGUAAGCCCUCAUGGCACUGUCGAGGCAAGUGUGCGGGAAAUGAGUCCUAAUGCUUGGCUCCGUGCGCCCACACCCAACUCAUACACACACACACACACACACACACACACACAUGCACACAAGAGCUUGUAUUGAAUUGAUGGCAUAUAUGCAGGCAUCCAACAAAAGAGCUACGAACGCACUGAGAGCAUUUCCAUGCUGAGCUUCGUGACAAAAAAAAGGUAGACGCAUAUCUUCUAUGCACAGUGAUGUAAAGACCAGGGUCGGACCCUAUUGUAGCUUGGUCAGGUAAUUGCCAGGGGUGAAUAGAAGCCUGGAAGUGCAGACAAAGUAUUGGGUUCAUUUUCUACUUCUCUUUCUAGAAUGUAUGCCAUGUGGUUUUACUAGCAGCACUCAUACCUGCAAUCACAUGGUAAUGUGCUUCUUUGGAGGUCUGUGAAUUUGCCAUCGAAGGGAAUGCUGGAGAAGAACAAGGUCUUACAUGGGGAAAGUGGAAGUGAGGCAUAGCUACAUUGACCACACAGCUUUGAUACAGUGUAGUUUGCCUUUUGAAUAAACCUGUACUUUUGAUCAUAUGCUGAUUAGUAAUGAUGUCAUGUAUAGCACUGGCUACCAUCAAUCUUUUUUUUUUUUGGUGUAUAUACAGUAUCAACCAAGAAAAUCGUCUAUGUUGGCGACACCUCUGUACGCGCCAUUAUUUUCCGUUCUCCAGUUUGUGCAUGCAUGUAAAUAUCCGUCCGCCUACAUCUCGUAGUCUCACCUCCAGGAAGUCUGGAUCGUGUUGAUUAGUGUGAAAAUGUGCUCCUGGGGUGUUCUGCGAAACUCCCACUCUGUCUCCCUUCCUACCCGUCACUCACUCACUCACUCACUCACUCACUCACACGCACCUUAUGUGUGGAACCCCCUAGACUGCUGAGAUGAGAUGAGUGUAAUUAAAUUCCUGCAUGUGUUAGGCCAGGCCUGUCAGCAGCUAAUAAACGGAGAUGAGGGAGUCUCUUGUACACUGAAAUAAGACAGCGGGGCACGUAGGGCAGCCAAAGGGGAGCCGGGCAGACACUCAGACUGCAACGCAACAUUAUUUCCACACCAUCGGAACAGCAUGUACAUUGGAGCUUGAUAGAUUUUGUGGUAAAUAUUUUUAUAAAGUCGUUACUUAUAUGAUUGUAAAAUCAAUGAUCUAUGCAACAUUUCUUUUAUUGUCACACUACAAAACAUUUCCUCAUGUAUGGAUUUGUGGCUGCUCAACCCUGCAUUUAGUUGCCUCUAUAAAAUAAAAAAA